GAAGUGGCUUUGUUGUAAAGAACUGUAAAACACAUACCAAAGAAGUCAAGGACUAUCAACAAUGAACUAACAAAACAAAAUAUAAAUAAAUGCCAACCUCAGCCACCCAUAUAUGUCUAUGUGCGCGCAUAUAUAUGUGCGUAAAGGAUUUAAUACUAACUGUUUAUAACCAAUAUGAAAGUCCAAAAGUGCACAUUGGCCACAAUUUUUAAAAUGGAACAAUAGAUAAUAAAAACUCCCUAAAGGGAUCUCCAAACUCCAAUCUAGAAAACUCCCUAAAUAAAACAUAAAAUUUAAGAUCAGCAGUCUUCGUAAACUAUCAUCAAGACUGGGGCUAAGUCUACAUAAAC
This 350-nucleotide unclassified non-coding RNA is filed under the name Hevea brasiliensis (rubber tree). The record is from RNAcentral. Lineage: Eukaryota; Viridiplantae; Streptophyta; Magnoliopsida; Malpighiales; Euphorbiaceae.